This is a long non-coding RNA of Homo sapiens (human), 19774 nucleotides long. RefSeq lists it as uncharacterized. The record is from RefSeq and is a predicted model, not a curated record. The transcript has 2 exons. Lineage: Eukaryota; Metazoa; Chordata; Mammalia; Primates; Hominidae.
CUUUUAUUUCCUUGAGCAGUGGUUUGUAGUUCUCCUUGAAGAGGAGUUGCCUUGGGACCUGUGCUUCCUUGGCUCUAUGCACUACCAGACGCAGUCCAGUGGGCAGCCUGGCGGGUGGCCCUGGGACUCAUUGCUUUGCAGCCUGUCUGGACCAUCCCUAACAGUUUAUUUUUUUGACUUUUCCAGUGGAGAGUCCACAGAGAAUAUGACUUUUCCUUGGGUCAUCUGUAAAGACUUGGCAAGGGAUGUCUUGCAUCUGGGAAGAUGUGGUCUUGGGGGUCACCUAAGCAGCAGAGGAAACCUUGCAAGAUGACAUUUGGGGCUAAUGUGGAAUUAACUAAUAGACUGAUGAGUUUGCUUGAUCUGAGAACUCACAAAGGAUGUUGAGGAAGAAAGGGCAGCUAUGACCUAUCUUGGGGUUUUGCAUUUUGUUCUUGUGACCCUGUGGAAAUGCUCAGAUGAGUGCACAUGUUCAGACUCAUGCCAGGCCAGUGUGAAGAAUCAAGCUGAGUAUGCAUCCUUCCGAGGCUCAAAGCCAAGAGAAAGAAAGAGAGGCCUGGUGAAAUAUCAUAGGAAAUGUCACGGUCUUUUCUGGACUCUCUUAAAAAGCCCAAGACCCAUUUAAUAUUUCGAUUGCAAGACAUAUCUCUACUGGAUGGUGUUUUGGAAAGCUGGAGUUUAGGAAAAUCCUGGCUGUAGGAAUGCUCUACUGCUGUGAACAUUCCCGCUUUAGGAAUGCUCAUAGCAGUAGAGAGUGGGCUACUGACUUUUCUGGUUUUCAACAGUAUCUUAUUUUUCCUGAACAUUUAUUAACUGUCUGCCCUAUCAGAGAACUUCUCAGAUUGGGACUUCCCUUGAGUAAGAGACAAUGACCUGAAAUGCAGGGCGAGAGAAAUUUCUUUCAGUUUUAGGCGGAAGGUGGGACCCAAAUUUAAGAGAGCCAACCCCAAGUAAGGAAGAUCAGCUCUCACUGGGAGCUGUGUAGGACCCAGGGGGGAGCACACCCCAGGAAAGGGCUGCCGGUGGAUCCGGAGGCCUGACCUGGGGCCCAGGCUGAAGUAGAACAUCAGCACCUCUAGUAGCCCAGCAAUUUGGAUAGCAGGCAGAGUUUAAAGGACCAAACUGGAAUUAUGAGUCAAGACUGGGCAGGAAGCAGGAAGCAAGGAUGAGGAGCCAGGUUAUGAUAACUAGUGAUGCAUGGGGUGUCCAGGCCCAGAGGCACUAAAAGGGGGUCAAGGACCCAGCAUGGAGACUGGGUAACAGAGAGCCAUGCUGUGCUCAUGGAAUCUGGGCAGCAAGAGUAGCAGCUCCCAGAGGGGCUGGCUGGCAACCUUUUGUAUCAGCUUAGGAACUUUUCAUGUUGGUCAGGAGCAGAGACGCAGUUCCAGUUUUGGCUGGCCUGGAGCUUGCAGGAUAAGCCCGUGUCUGGCUGCACUGUAAAAAUAACACGGAGAAUAGGAUGGGUCUUGUCCUUGGUCUCUAGAGCAGCCACUACAUGGAAGAAAGAGGUAGAAGGCAGGUGUCUAUCAAGUGACAUCACAGAACUCAAGAGGAGUGAAUGUCACCUCCAUUCCCCAGUCUCCCAACAUUCCCUGGGGAACAGGGCAGAGGGAAGACAGAGUAGGGGAAUUCCAGGAUAAGCUUCAUGCACCCAGAAUGUGGAAUGCUCACCAAAGAAGAACAAGAGCCGUGUUCACAUCAUGAUAUUCCGCCCUCUUAAUUCCCAAACAGGGCUCCCAGGCUACAGAGCAGCUUUGAUAACAGCAGUGCACUCCCUCUCCUCUAGAAAGUUAGGUGGCUUUAAAAUAGGUAAGGCUAAUUUCAUUCCUUCUGUGAGUUCUGAUGAAAGGGGCAUUUGGCGAAAAACACGUGUGGGUUGGCAUGCAAUGAAUACUUAUUUACAUGGGUGUUUUGAAGACAAUGACACAGAAUCAAAAUUUAACCCACAAGUUUAGGUUUUCAGUUUCCUUCUGCUUCUCUCCUUUGAGAGGUAGAGAUGGAGAAACUGUCUCUACCGCUCUUAUUUUCUCACUCUGAUAACAAUCUUUUCCAUUAGUAGAGUGCUAUAUAAGGUACAGUGCACUUGGGAAAUGCCUCUUGGGAAGGUGACAUGUAAAAAUGGUGGUCAACGCCACUUCUGGGCAGGUGCCAAGGCCUGUAGCAGCCUGUGUCUUUGGGUCCUGCAUGCUUUCCUUUGUGUUGGCUGGUUCCUCUGGCUGAGUUCACUGUUGGUCUGUCUGUGGCAAUUACGGAGAAGCAUGACAGUCACAGCUUCCCUGAGUUCUACUGAACUCAUGAACUUUGUUCAUAACAGACUCUACAAGUGGUACAGGAUUCCUAUGGCCACAACUCAACUCAACUCCGUAGAAAUCAAUGUUUAUGGAUCAUUGGAGCUAAAAGAAAACUUGCAGAUCAGAUCAUCUCAUCCAAUUCCCUGACUUUACAGAAUGAGGAAACUGAGGCACAGUAAGAUUUUUUUUUUUAUUUUUUGCCCAGGUCUGAAUAAAAUUGAAGGCACCCUUACCAUAGCCAGGAUUCUUUGUAUAUACCACUGGCUGACCAGUGGUAGCUGAAAAAAAAAAAAAAAGGGAUUUGAGAUGGUAGGAGGGGUGUCUGACUGAGGAGCCAUUUUUAUAGGUUUUUAUAGACAUUUGCAUUGGUUUGGAGUAGCAGAACCAGAAAUAGUCUUUCCCUUUUCAGGAGCAACUCUGCACAGAAGACUCACUGGCUUUGGACUCUGUCCCUAUCACAUACAUUUCAGUAGCCAGGCCAAGGCAUCUGGCUGGGAGGCUGGGUACGUCUCAGAGAAUAAGCGCUUGUCAUAGAAUGGGUCGUGAAGCUGGGCAGAGAGCCAGGUUUGCAGAAAUGGCUUUGUAUUGAUGAAGAAGGGAGAUUUUUACCUUGUCUUGGCCUCCAUCAUGAAGAGAGUGUUACAAAAAAGUACAGAUGACAGCAGGCCACUCUCGGAGACACACACGAAGCUUGUCUUCCUCCAUCCCAAAUACAUAGGUCAGUGGACCCUCAGGAAUCCAUUCUGAUGCACGGGUGGAUGAGCCAAGGGCUGGGCAGAGGCCAUUUCAAUAGCUUAAUGCUUGCCAGGUAUAUCUGAGCUAGUGCUGCCCCAGGGACAGAGUAUCCUCUGGGAGAUCUGAACCAAGCGAGGGUGUGGCAGCCGGUGGAUGACUUACAGUCAGCCUAUCUGGGCAGAUUUUAAACCCUGGCGUUUUUAGUGCCUUGACUAGUGUGAGAAACUUGAAACUCAGUCUCAUUGCUAUUUGUGGUAAUGGUCAUUUAGUUUCAGGAAAACAUCGAUGGUGCCCUUCCCUAGAUAGCUGCGUUGCAAUGGACCACAUUAUGGCAUGCACAUUAAUGUAGGGAUUGUUCAUACAAAAGAGGGCAAAGAUGCCACUUGUGACAGAAAUGACUGUUACCCAGUGUCUGUUCUCUACCUCUUUCAUAGGGAUAGAAUUUUCAGCUGGGCACAUGACUGCUUAGAAUGAAGAACUACAGUUCUCAUCCUCCCUUGUGGCUAAGUGAGGUUUUGUGACUAAGUUCUAGAUAGUAGGAUGUCAGCAGAGGUGAUGCGUGUGACUUCCGGUGUGUGCCCUUGAAGGCAAAGUCAUGCCUGCCCUUUCCCUUUCUCCCUCUGCAGGCGUGUUGCCGUCAUGGUGAGGAGCCAUUUCAUAUCAUGCAGACUAAAAGACCCUUUCCAGGUGCUGGAGCAACCAUUCAGAAGGCGGUGAUGGCUGGGGGAGGGCUUCCAUGGGAGAGAGGAAGUAAAUGUCUCUCAUGGGGAAUCCCUGUUGUUUUGGUCUCUGUCAACCAUGGUUCAAUUCAUAACUUAAGUUAUACCCUACUUAUUGGGAACUUUGAUUUUGGAAGGCAAAGAAAUUUAAAAAUUAAGAAAUAAAAAUAAAACAACAGAUAGCACUUGGAUAAGUUGGCCAAGUUCAAGUAACACAAAAAAGUCAGGACAUGGAACCAGGAGGUGGAAGUGCCUUGUUUCUCCUCCUCCUCUUUCCGUUUCCCAUGUCACCCACAGGACUGGUGUGCCCGGUAGGAAAGAUUGGUAGGUCCCACUGGUCCCGAGUGUCCUACGGCCCUUUAUAUUGGAUAAUAUUGGAACUGGAUUCUCCUAGAGAUUGGGAAUGGUGGCAGAAAAAUUAAAAUUGGGAGGUGAAAGCUCAAGGAGGUAGUUACAAAGCAAAGGAAAACAAACAGUUUUGGGCAUCCAGCUGCCUUUCAGUGGUGGUCACUAUGGCAGAGAUCAGCAGAGUGAAGGGCUAGGAGAUAGACUCAUUUCGGAUCUAACUUUAAUAAUCAAUUUUAAUGACCCUUGAGCGAAUGGAGCAGUUGAUUUUCCUCUCAAUCCUCUCUCUGUGUCUGUUGUUCCUGCAAAGCCUAUUGGGACUUGCCUGAGGAAUUGGCCCUUAUCCUUGAGGUUAAUGAAAGACAACACUCAAGAAGCUUCCCACUUACAGAACUCUUUCUCCAAUUUAGAAUGGAGGCUACUUUUUUUUUUACUGUGGUAAAAUAUACAUAAUAUAACAUUCACAUUUUAACCAUUUUAAAGUGGCAUUGAGUACAUUCAUACUGUUGUGCAACCAUCACAACCAUCCAUCUCCAGGACUGUUUUCUUCCUGCAAAACUGAAACGCUCUACCUAUUAAACAAUCAGUUCCCAUUCCCCCUUCCCCCAGCCCCUGGCACCCACCAUUCUACUUUCUGUCUAUGAAUUUGACCACUCUGGGAACCUCAUAUAAGUGGAAUCUCAGAGUAUUUGUCCUUUUGUGACUGGAGCUAGUUUUGGCUAAGUCAUGGGAGAGGCAAGUGGAUCCCUUGCUGGUAGGAAGGACAGGGCCGUGUUGACAGGGACCAUGAGGCCUCCGCCCUGCAGUUUUCCUUUGUCCUCUGCGUGGGGUGGGGCAGCCCUCUUGGGGAAAAGGCUCUCCUCAUUUCAUCUUUACUUUUCCUUCCUGGGAGAUGGAGCAAAUGGUGCCUGCCUUGUCUAUUUGGAGCACACAGGCAUAGAUCAUUAAUAAGAUAAUUGGAAGGUACUUGGCAAAAUCUGAAAUAUUAACUGUCUCAGAGAAGCUGAAUAAUCACAGGGUCUCACCAAGUGCCACCUCAACAAGUGCAGCUUUCACCCGUCCUUGGACAUUUAUUUCCCUUUGUCUGCACUCUGUUCCCUUUCUCCCAAAAUGCUGGGUAGAGGUUCUUUAAAAUUCAAGAAAAAAAUCAGACUUCCCCUUCUCCCCAGUGACAUUCCCGGCCUCUUCUCUCACUCGAGUGAUUUCCUGUAUGAAAUUCAACAACAGGUCCACCCAGAGGAGUUCUUUUUCCUCCAGCUUCUCUGUUUAAAAAUCUUGGGUUCUUCCUGACAAAAGGAGGCUUAGUCAUCUUCCCCCAGUGACAGGCCCUACUUAAAAACAAACAACGAAGAAAUCCUACAUCCCACUCCAGCUUGUGCUGCAGAGCCUGGCCGGGGAGGGACAGGGGAUGGUACACUUGGAAAGGCAAUCAAAGAGUGGGCGGUCAGAAAACAAAACCUGCCAGGUUAUCAAAAGGACACCACCUCCAAUGCACAGAGCUGCUUCCUUCCCGCACACACGGAAUCUUCCUGCUCCCUGCCCCACUCAUCGUGGUCGUGGCCAGCUGUGUCCAGCAGCCUGGCGCCCACUUAACAAACAGGAGCAAUGAGGGAGACUCCUCACCCGGGGCCAGCAGUGGGUCAGGGAAGAGGCUGGGGUUAGGGCUCAGGGGUCUCAACCUGGAGUCCUGUGUUUGCAGCUACAACUCCAAGGCCUUGGGAUUUGCCUAGUGGGGAAUCCUGGGCUCCAGGGAAGAAGUCACUGAAGGUUUACCAGGCAGACUUAUAAAUGGGGAGAAACUGAAGCCUAGAACGCCCCCCUCUCUGAUGACUGCUGCCUACGCUGCCUCCUUCCUUCUCUCAGCUCCAAAGGCACAGAAUGUCUGAUCGGAGAGUUUAGCUGCUUUCUACUGUUUUCUCACAGUUUCGUUUAUCAGCCUUGUCUUGCCAAUGAUACAGAAGCUCCCCGCAGGACAGUGGGUAGGUGGGAGCUUCCCGAUGAUCAUGUUGGUGUUGACAAAGCUCCCCAAAGUGGGGUAUUCCCUCAGGCUGGUCUCCGGAGCCGGCUCUGUGCUCUGAAAGCGGCCCAUCCUGCCGUCCUAGAGUAUAGGUGCCGUCUAUCUCUGUGUGUUGAGUUAUCGGGAGAUGAAAGAUUUUUUUCACUUGGUGAAUCCUGGCAUUGUGGGAAGACUCUCCUAACACAGACAUAAUUCUCUUGCAAUCCCACAGGCGCACACAUACACAGAGGCGUCACACACACACAGAGGCACACCCCUGGUGUGUCAUGGGCGUUGUUUUGCGUGGAGAACGUGGAGCGUGAAGACACAUUUUCUAUGACAGUGGUUCCCUUGGUGUGGGAUUGAUGGACCUGUGGACAACAGGAGUUUUGUUAGUGCUCUUCAGGGUCCCGGAGAUCAUGUACUAGAACACCUUUCCUCCACAGAGGAAGAGACUGCAACCCAGAGAGCUUUGUCACUUAGACACACAAUUUUACUUUGCUUGGGCUUCAGUUUCCCUAUAUGAAAAGAAAAAAAAAAUAGAAUUGCCCCAAAGGAUCUUAAGGACUUUUUCAGAAUUCCGUACAUAAUGAGUUUUUAUUGUCAUUUUCUCACCAUUCUUUGGCCUUUGUGGAACUGACUAGAAUAGCUCAAUUGUUUGUUAAGGAAUUUCUGACCUCAAUCAGUUUUCCUUAUAUAAGGAGUUACCAGUUUUAGAGCCUCAUGUCACUUGGGGCUGUGUCUCACUUAAAAGUGCUGUGAGAGCAUAUUGGAUUGCUGAAAGGAGAAACUGACCACCUCUUAGAAGACAUCACCAAUUCAAAUGAGGGUGUCUCCUUUCCUAGCGAAAACGGGCACUUAGACUAGUUUAGAGCCACCGGAGGUGGGAGGAUGAGCCAGAUGUCCCUGGAAAGCCAGUUUAGGGGUGCUUUUCUCAUGUUUUCCAGGGUUUAAUUAUGCUCCGUGCUUGAGAGAAAUAUUUUUGAACCUGAGGAUUUUUUAUCUUAACGUUGAACAAAUUAUUUAUCUUUCUUUUUCUGUCCCCUCCAUAGUUCCCCAAUGACUCUAAUUUUUAUUAUUGUUAUAAAGCAUUUUUCCUUAAAGAGUAAAGACGCAAAUAAAAAAAAUCUGCAGCUUAGACACAAGAACAAGAGUGAAUCUGACAGACCUAAGGUUGAGUGAAAGAAACAUGGCAAAGGGGUGUGUUCAGCAGGACUCCAUUCCUGUUAAGCUAAAAAUGGGCCAAAUGAAGCUAUCUUUUAAGGUACACAUACAUACGUGGCAAAAGCAUAAAGAAAGGUCAAGAAAUGAUGAUCGCAAAGUCAAGGUAAUGUUGUGUUUCUGGAUUGAUGGUAGUUACAUGAAAGUAUGCUUUAUUAUUCAUUAAACUAUAAAAAUAUGUCAUAUGUACCUUUUAAAUAAAAAUAGAAUAAAGUGACAUGGAAAUCAGAAAAAAGCUAGUAGCGUAAAAAUUGCAGAUUCAUAUGGUGGGUUGAAUGCUCUCUUCCAAAACCACACUAACAUGAUGGUAAAGGAAUCGUUAAAAAAUGCAUAAACCACAAAGACAAAAUGAAUCCAAAGAAGACAUCACCCACCGGUGUUUAUUUGUUCAUUUUUUUGUAUUUGAAAUACUCUUUGAUGACAUAUUUGGCUUUGAUUCUUUGGCGCUGGCCUUAACAACCAUACAGCUGCAACCAGUUGCUUACAGGGCUUUGCUUUUCUGCUGAUUUUGCAGAGGCCUUCUCCAUUCCUUUAGUUUGACCAACCUCAGUUAAGCUGAUGUGGGUGUCAACAAACAGUUCCUCAACCAGGUUUUUCUACAUAGACUCAUGAGGGUCAGAUGCAAGUACCCGUGAAUUCCACAAGCUAAGCCAUCGGGGAUGAGGGUGGUCUUCAGCACCCUUUUGAAGCAGUGUUAAUGUCCAUUUCUCCCCCAGCAGCAAUGCCUUUCUUGGCCAUGGUGGAGGCUUAAGGUUGGAGCUGAAUGUUGAACUCACUGGAGAUGUUCUGCCUUCAUGCAGCCCAGUGGCAGCUGGGAAAGCUGGAAAGUAGAUGGACAAGUAGUAACAGACUUUGCAUGUACUGUAUGAGACAGCUGAAUCCUAAGCGGCAGUGGGGAAAAUUGAGACACAAUUAAACUUGCAGCUCACAACCUCCAAAAGGCUUGGAAAUUGUGGUAUCAGGUAUUUUUGGAAGUGACGGUUAAAAUGGGGCUAAGAACUGGAGAAUUGGUUCAACGUUUGUAUUCUUAGAAAAUGCUAAGAGUAGAUGGCACAGUGUUCUCACCACAAAAAUAAUAACUAUGUGAGGUGGUGCAUAUGUUAAUUAGCUAGAUUGAGUAAUUCCACAAUGUAAACAUGCUUCAAAACAUGUUGUACACAGUAAAUAUAUAUAAUUUUAUCUGUCCAUUGAAAAAAAUUAAUUAGACCUCAGACCCCUACUCCUAUUCUCAGCAACUAAUACUCUUCCCAUUUCAGCUGAGGACUGGAGGAUAAAGCGGAAUGUUCUCUAAUGGGGAUAAAGCAAGAGGUCUGCAUGGGGGCACCACUGGCACAAUGGAGGGCAGCACGCCCGGGGCGAAUACAGGGCUGAGACUUCUGGAGUAUCUCCCACUUGCUCUCAGAGUGCUGUCCCAUAAGCCUGUACUCUCUAGGCAGAAGAUCUGCGUGGCUUUCCCUGGCAGAGUGGACCAGCCUAAAGAGGACAGCCCUAAGGGGGCCCUAAGAUCUAGCCAACAGGGCGUUCCAGCUGUGGGGCCUUAGAGCAAAGCCUAGUGCAUCAUAAGCCACACCUGUGCUCACAAUGUCCCAUCAGUUUUUGGUGGUUCUCUCUUAAAUAAGGUCCAUCAGUUAAGGAUCCCUAAAUGUCCCUAAAUAUCUUAGGAAGGCCUUGAAAAUAGAAACCAAAGCUAACAAGCAAAGGAUGCCUAUUUAAAUCAGAAUAUACACGAGGAAAACUUAAAAAAAACACAUUAUUUUCUGUCUUUAGAGGGAUAAGAUAUUAUAUCCUUGAUACAGAAGCUGAUUGCUAUGUAAAGGGAAAAAUUAAAACAUUGAUAAUUAAGAAAUGUGAUGACUGAGUGCUAUGAAUGGUUAGAAAACAAAAUUGAAGAAUAUCCAAGAAAGUAGGGCAAAAAAUCAGAGAUGGAAAUUAGGAGUAAAAAAAAUAUGACCAUUAGACAGUCCAGGAAGUCCAGUAUCUGAAUACUAGGAGUUCCAGAAAGAGAUAACUACAAAAACAGAGGGGAGGAAAUCACCAAUGAGACAGUUCUAGUACAUUUGCUAGAACAGAAGGAUAUUAGUAUCCAGAUUGAAAUGGCUCAUUAAGUGCCCUUACAAAUAGAUGAAACAGGCCUAUCCCAAGGGUACAUCUUUGUGACAUCUCAGAAAAGUAGGGACAAUUGGAUCUUACAAGUUUCUAGGCUGGGCACAGUGGCUCACGCCUGUAAUCCCAGUACCAGAGGCAGAGGCGGGUGGAUCGCUUGAGCUCAGGAGUUCGAGACCAGCCUGGGCAACAUGGCGAAACCAUGUCUUUACCAAAGAUACAAAAAAUUAGCGAGGCUUGGUGGUACGUGCCUGUAGUCCCAGCUACUCAGGAGGUUGAGAUGGGAGGAUUGCUUGAGCCUGGGCGAUGGAGCAAGACUCUGUCUCAAAGAAAAAAAAAGUUUCUAGAAAGAAGAAAUGUAUUACAAAAGGUCAGGAAUCAGCCUGAUUUACCCGCAGCCAUGUGGGAAGCUAGAAGGCGAAGGAGAAUUGCCCUCAAAGUUCUGAAGAAAAAUGAUUUCCAGUUGACAAUUUUAUAUCUGAUCAAACUAUCACUCAAGCAAGAAGGUAAAAGAGAAACAUUUUCAGAUAGGUAAAAAUAUAAAACAAAAAGAAAAAAAUAAAACUUAGCCCGAUGCACCUUCUCUCAGGAAGCUAUUGGAGUUCUUCACCAUGAGGAGGGAGUAAACCAAGGGAAACAUAGGAUCCCGGAAAUGGGGGCCAACACAGAAGAUGGAGUAUGUGAGAGGGGGCCCUUCAUAGUCGUGAUAAAGUGGAUGCAGGACAUUGAUCUAAACUAAAUCAUGACAAAACUAUUGCAGAGGAUAGGGAAGAGGUGAAAGAGGGCUAAACCCUUACCUUCUAUGAUGAGGAAAAAACCUUAAAAAUCACCAAGGGGCUACAUAAGCAUAUUAUUAAAAAUAUGGAAUGGAAUACCAAAAGAAACAGCUAAGGAAUUGAAAGCUUAUUGUUGUUGAGGGGCAGGUUGGGGAGGGGGGUAAGAAGAGAACUGUGGAUUUUUUUUCUUCAAUGAACCUUUUAGAACAAAUUGACUCUUUAAAUUAUGUGUAUAGGCCGGGCAUGGUGGCUCAUGCCUGUAAUCCCAGCAGUUUGGGAGGCCAAGGUUGGGAGGAUUACUUGAGCCCAGGAGUUUGAGACCAGCCUGGACAACAUGGCGAGACCCCGUCUCUACAGAAAAUACAAAAAUUAGCUGGGUGUGGUAACGUGUGCCUGUGGUCCCAGCUACUCAGGAGGCUGAGGUGGGAGGAUUGCUUGAGUCUGGGAGGUUGAGGCUGCAGUGAGUGCAGUGAGCUGUGAUUGUACCAGCCUUGGGGACAGAGUGAGACCCUGUCAAUAAAUAAAUAAAUAAAUAAAUUAAAUGUAUGCAUAAGAGAUAAAGAUUAAAACUAGAAAAAUGAAUAGCUGAUUAUUGGUGUUUAUCUCCUUUAGAUUUCUUUCUUUCUCUUUUUUUUUUUUUUUUUGAGAUGGGAGUUUCGCUCUCAUUGCCCAGGCUGGAGUGCAACGGCAUAAUCUCGGCUCACUGCAACCUUCACCUCCCGGGUUCAAGCAAUUCUCCUGCCUCAACCUCCCAAGUAGCUGAGAUUACAGGCAUGUGCCAUUACGCCUGGCUAAUCUUUUGUAUUUAGUAGAGACGGGGUUUCACCAUGUUGGCCAGGCUGGUAGCGAACUCCUGACCUCAGGUGAUCUGCCCGCCUCGGCCUCCCAAAGUGCUGGGAUUAUAGGCGUGAGCCACCGCUCCUGGCCUAGACUUAUUUCAUGUAAGUAAAACAAGAGUCCUGUGUUGUCCAUUCAUUUAUUCCACAGAUUUUGUUUUGAGUAUCUGUUAUGUGCUGGGCAUUGAGGCAAUUUCUUUUCUCCUUAUUUCCCCUUGUUUUCAUUGCUCCUGUUCUGGACCGUCCUGCUGGGAUCCUAUUUAAUUUGCUAGUUACCACCUGCCCUAUACGCCUCUGGAUUUCUGCUGGGUGUGGCUGUGGCCCUAGUGCGAUGUCAGGGAGGUCUUACUUAAUGCUUCUCUCAUGCUCUCCAGUGGUGAGUUGUCAGAAGUGGUACGUUUUGCUUUUUCUUCUGAGAUGGGAGAAGCGUGCUGUAUCCACAGAUUCCUAGCUGGCACAGUUGACUGUUUAUUUGCUUAGCACAUGGCCUGACACAUAGCAGACACUCAGUGGCUGAAUAAACAUGGUAACUGUGACAUGUACUCACUUUCUCUCUCCUGUCUCUGAUCCUCAAAGAGGACCAAAUAUCUGCCACCCUGCAUCCUCAGACGGCUCGUAACUUUGGCAAAAAGGGGCCACCACAGAGGGCCUGCUGCAGCCUUCCCAGUUCCCUGUUGUUUCCACUUUUGCUACCUGAAAUCUAAUGAUUUGAGAUCCAGUAGUUUGCGUCUUGAAGAAUAUUUGGAAAUUAAGGAAAAUACAGGUGUCCCUAAGAGGAAAAAUACUAUGACCCAUCAUCACAGUAAUUUCCAACCUGGAGCUCCCACAUGCUGGGAUCUCAUAACAGGCAUAAUGGUGGCCAGAGAGCACUUCUUAAUAUUUCAAAACACCUAAUGGAAACUGCCCAUUUAUUUAAGAUAAGGCUGCAAAGAGUAACUAAAAUGGCAAGUUUCUUUGCUUUCCAGUGAAAGAGUAUCGAUUUGGUAUGGUAGCUCUGGUUAUUUUUUAUUUUAUUAUUAUUAUUUUUGAGACGGAGUCUUGGUCUGUCACCCAGGCGGGAGUGCAGUGGCUUGAUCUUGGCUCACUGCAACCUCCGCCUCCCAGGUUCAAGCGAUUCUCCUGCCUCAGCCUCCUGAGUAGCUGGGACUACAGGCGUGCGCCACCACACUUGACUAAUUUUUAUAUUUUCAGUGCAGACAGGGUUUCACCAUGUUAGCCAGACUGGUCUCGAACUUCUGGCCUCGUGAUCCACCCUCCUCGGCCUCCCAAAGUGUUGGGAUAACAGGCGUGAGCCACCGCACCCGGCUAGCUCUGGUUAUCCUUUGCUGAACAGAUGCUUGAGUUGAUAGCUGUCUAUCUGUGAUAAACACAAGAAUGGAAGGAGAGAAUAAUGAUCAAUAACAGCUUAUGUGAUUGACAAGACCUUGCCAAAGGCAGUGUGGAUGUGGUGGGAUGGGAAGGGGGUCUCUGGGAGGGGAGAGACGGGGGCACUGCAUGCUACUUAGUUAUUCCUGGGGUUUGUUGGCAGCUGCACUGAGGACAGAGGGCUCCAGACAGGGGCAGAGCAGGGGCACAGAGAGUGGUGUGAGGCUCUAAACGCCAGCUUGGUCGGCCCACUUUGUCAUUUUGCUGAGGGCUGGUGGAGGUGCCGGUGUGGCUGUGCCAGGGGCCCCGCCUGUCACCUCUCCCUGCAAUCCAGACCCCAUCACAGAGCCCAUGGCAGCGGAGAUAAAUGCUUCGGCAAGGCAAACGAAUCUAGAGGGAAUGGGAGCCUCAAGCCGUGAAAAAUGAUGGGGACUGUGGCCUACUUUCUUGCUUUGUAAGAGUCACUUGCACUUUUCUGGGGCACAGCCAAACUGACGGUGCUGUAGAACAGGAUGUGCGAGAAUGCUGUUUGGCAAACAAAGAGCGCUCUCUGGCCCCCAGAGGUUCUGGCUUUUGAGCCCAGACUAAAGAAAGCCAGGCUGGAGACCGUAUAUCAAACUUUGCAAGCCCGUUUAUAUACCUUGCUGGUGCCUCAGGGGGCAGAAAUGCUGGUUGGGGAUCUUUGUGUUUUGUUUUGAAAGAGUGAUGUUUGGAAGCAGAAGCACUCAAAAAUAUAUCCUGACCUCUGGCACUUAGAACCUCCACCAGAGCUUGGCACUUAACUGUUCUGUUUCUCGUGAUAUGUUCUAAUUAUCUGUUUCCAGCCAGAUUGUAAGGUCAACAAUGGUAGUUUAUUUACGAGUAAGUCUUAGUUUUCUCAUCUGUAGGAAUGGGGAUAAAAAUGCAGGUUUGCUAUGAGUGUUAGGGGUUCAGGGUUUAGUUUUGGGCCUAACUGCUCCUGUCUACCUGUCUACCCUUCCAGGGCCUCUCAGGACACACCUUACUCCCAAAGCACAAUAUCCAAAUGGCAAAGAGGUUGUCCCUUUCUUAAUGAGCUCCACAAGCACCUGACCACCACCCCCUCCCAUUCGAGGCCUCCCUGUCCCCUCCCGCUGAACCUAAACCGCUCUGAGGAGCAGCUCUCCAGCCAUCAGUCCUGCUUGGAUGAGGAUGCUGAUUUUGUGUCUAGGGAAACAAGUCUGCCCCGUUUGCCUUCCACAUGGAGGCUGAGGGUACAAGAGAAAGUUGGGGGAAAUAGCAAGCAAAGUUCAGAGGGCAGUGGUCCAUUUUUUCUUAUCAGCCACAAAACAAAAAAUAAAUAAAAGAAGGAGGAGGCCGUGUCUUUGAGGCACAGUAAGCCUGCCCACUGAAUGUCCCUGAGAGUAACUAGUUAUAAUAGCUACUCCUUCUACAGGGAGACCUAGAGACGGGGCAGAGAGAGGAAAGGACGUGCCCCCGUGAAUAGCAGAGGGGUGAACAGUAGGCCUGGGGGAGAAAUUGCCUUCCUGACAAGAAGAGUUGGAGAUGAUGAAUACAAAACCCCUGGGACACUGCCUGGCCCAUAGUGAUGUUACCAUCAGUAGUGGCUUUGCCGUUUCCAGAUUGACAUCCAUGCCCUAAACAGAGAACUUUGCUGAGAUGAAAUUUCCUUGUUGGUAUACUUUUGUGAACCACUCCAUUGAGAACCAGCACAAAGCCAUUGCCUUCUUGAACGUCUUCAUUAAAACUAGAAUAAUCUCUGCCCCUCAUUUGCCCAUGCACAUGGAAAACCCACGGAUAUGCCUUCCCUGAUGGAAAAUAUGACCACUGACUGGAGUUCGAGACCAGCCUGACCAAUAUGGAGAAACCCCAUCUCUACUAAAAAUACAAAAUUAGCCAGGCGUGGUGGUGCAUGCUUGUAAUUCCAGCUACUUGGGAGGCUGAGGCAGGAGAAUCACUUGAACCCAGGAGGCAGGGGCUACCGUGAGCCGAGCCGAGAUCACGCCAUUGCACUCUAGUCUGGGCAACAAGAGUGAAAUUCCAUCUCAAAAAAAAAAAAAAAAAAGUGACCACUGAAAUGUGUAUAAUGCUUUAAAAUUGACAGUGCAUUUUCUCAUCCAUCAUUUGAGCCUCACAACAGCCUUGUGACGUAGGCAGUAUUCGUAUUCUCACUUCAAAGAUAAGGAAGCGGAUGCUGGAAUGGCUUGGGCACCAGGCCAGGUUCAUACAGUAAGUAAAUGGCCAAGGCAGGGUGUAAUCUUUGGACUCCACACCCAGCGCUCCUUUUUUUUUUCUGUCAUCUGUGAUGCUUCUUCCACCCUGCUAUUGAUAGCCUAGGAACAAGAUGUGUGACUUUUCUUACCACCCCCUGGUGGGUACAUCCUGGGUACACUUUUCUGUUUUCUAGUGGGGGUAAGGAAAAUGGCUUUCAGUGGUGAAGGUUCACAGAAAGAAUGGGAUCCAGAAGCGUCUUCCAGCAUGGUCCAGGUGCCAGAAGACUUUGGCAGGCGAGUUGACCAUGGCUGAGUCAGGCCCUCCUCCCCCGCUCCCUGGAUUUUGGAUCGAUUUUGCAGCGGCUCUGGCGGCUGCAUGUGUUUCCCUUGGCCUCUGAGGCAUUCCAGUGAUGAUGAUGGCUCGGCGGGGUCACGGCCCUGUACAAAGCAAGGGCUAUUUGUGGCUGAUCUAAAACAUAACUGGAGCCACCUGCAUCCGAGGCUGGCUUCUCGGGCUCUGGGUCCCAUAACCCAGCUGGAGUAAAAAGUUCACGUUCCCGUGUGGAGUAGAUACCAAAAGUGACGUCUCUUUCUUUCUUUAGGUUUGGCUGCGUAAUUGGAAAACCAAGCUGCCCGCCACCUUGCCGUGGCUUCUUCUAUCCCUAGGGCCUGGAGUGGGCUUCCUCCCUCCCCUCCUCUAUCUAAACCCUCCUUGCUGCAAGACCCUGCUCCUUUCACGGAGUCUCCAUUCCCAGAAUGUAUGUGACCUCAUUGUUUGUCAUCCAUGUUGGGGCUUUUAAGAAUAUCCCCUUGCACCAUUUUAUGACUGCUUCAUGGACAAUAAUCCUGACUGUGUUCUUUGGGGCCAGACACUGGGUCUGCUUUCCUUCCUCUCUCACAGUGCCUGGCUGUGCUGGGUACACAUGAAGGCUGACGGUUCACUGAAUGAGGCAUUGUGGAGGGCGUAGAAAACAUGGAGACCUGGGAACCCAGAGACCAGGUUUUGUUGCCAGGGCAAAUCCCUUUGCCUCUCUGGGUUGCUCAGUCCAUAUCUGUAAAAUGAGAGUUGAACUGGAUGAUCUUUAAGGUCCAUUUCAAAUUCAAAGUUCUGGAACUAAUUGUAGACUAAGCCGAAGAGAUGCUCAUUGCCUUUACCUGUCUCUCUCUGCUCCCCAUAUUGCAGCCUGGUAAGCUGUUGUGGCUUAUCACCCGCACCUCUGAUUUGCCUGAAUGUAACUUAAAAACUUGUCUUCAUAAUAUCAGGAAGGUCACAAAAGAGAAUGAGGGAGUGUUGAGUAGUGUUUAGAAGCAGAGACUGGGGAAUCAGACAAACUUGGGUUUCAGUCUUAGCCCUACCACUUAAUAGUUGUGUGGCCUUGAGCAAGUCACCUUGUUAAGUACCACUUUCUUUUCAGAAACAUGGAGUUAAUGCCAGUCUCACAAGGCAAUGGAGGAAUAUGUGAGAUAAUACAGGUAUGGCGCACACACAGUGUCAGAGCUCACUCAAUGGUGGCAGUCAUCGUCAUUGAAGUGGGGAGGGGAAAGAAGCAGAGGGGUGUGUUUUCUAGUCCUUUGGUGAGCAUUUUCUGACUUGUAAACUAUUGGUUGCAUUUUAAGACAGUGCCUUUAUCAUUUUCAUAAGCAGUGUAAUGAUUUGAGGAAAACCAUUUUAGUUCUAAUAAGAACACUAGCAGUACUAAUUGUGCACAUGAUAGCAUUUUAAUAGAGUUCCAUAAUUUAUGGAAUUGGGAAGACUUACAAAAACAUGGGUUGACUCUCUAGAGUCUUAGGUUUCUGGUGAGUGAUUCAAACAGGCUGCUCUUGCUUCCUGCCAGUGCAAAUAAAUCAAUUGUAAACCUGCACUUUUAAACAAAAUUGUGAAAAAGGAAACAAAUCCAGUGAUAAGAAACUAUUUUAACAAGACACUUCAUUCUUGAGGUGAUUUGCUAAGGAGAGAUUUUCCAGAUUGUCCCUGAACUACCAAAAGCAACAGACACACUGUGGUACUUGCUUCUCUUUUUCUAGCUGCUCUGGGUUUAAGUAACUGAAGCCUUCUCAAGUAUUAAAUUUGGAGGGUGGCUCAGUGAUCUAAGCAAUGAAGACCCAAGAAAGACUUUGGGUCUGAAUCAAAGUUUUCCAACUGCCUUGCUUUGAGUGCUUGGAAAGUCACUUCCUAACCUUGGAUACCUCAAUCUUACCAACUAAAAGAGUGGUAGAUGGCGGGAUGAACAUCGCCCAGCUUUAGACAGUGAAACCUGGAUGAACUUAACCUGGCUUAAGAUGAUCCCUUUCUGUUUAAGUGGAAAAUGCAUGGUGAGUGAACAUUACCUUUCAAGCAACUUCUGGACAGAGUCCAUAUGUGUGUGUGUGUGUAUGUGUGUGUAUUAGCCUGAAGUUCAAGUACUUGCAAAGGUUUCUAGCACACAGUGUGCAGUAGGUGAGCUAGACUUAGUUAGACUUAGGACUUCCAGAUCUCCCAUGUCUUGACAAUUGUGUUUAACUGAGUUUUAACAUUGACUCUCAGAGUCAGAAAGAAUUCCAGAAGAUAAAGGAAAACCAGAAAGCCAAACUUUAAUAAAUACUCAGAGAGCAAAAAGAAAUAAUGGAAAUGGCAUACGUGCAGAGGGCACGUAGUUAGUGAAGAAAUAGCUUUUGAUGAAACAGGACAGGGUGAAACUUCAAAGACUUGUCUUUUAUCCAUUAAUCCCAUUAGUGCUCCAGCGAUUUCUCAAAGAUUGAUUAUCUCUGGGGAAAUGUGUUACAUCAGCCCUCAGCUUUCCAGUCCCAUUAGACCCAGCAAACAUUCUGUGCUGCUGGGAUGAUGGGCUUCUGUGCCAUGUUUACCCAUAUUCCUCCAGCUUGGCCCCCUCCUCACCAGCUCCAGUCAGGAACAGAGAGAGGCCUCUACCAUCAGUAGUCAUUCUUUGGGAUUAUCACUCACACCCCUUUGGAAGGGAAGAGAAACAUAAAGAUAAUGGGCAAGCAGCAUGUGCUCAGGUUAACUUUACAUUGGCUGAUCAAUUCUUCAUAUAGCCUUGGGCGUUUAUUAGGACUUUCAUGGUGGAUAGACACACUGUCCCCAUUCAAAGUGCCUCUAAAUUAGAAGUGAGAUACCUAAGGAGUGUCAGCAAUGAGGAACAAUGGGCUUCUCUUGAAGUCUUGCUCUCUGUCUAGUAUGGUGGGCAAAGGAAUUUAUCGGUUACUAAUUUUAUAAAUAACCUUCUCACAGUCUCUGUUUUGUCAUAUGUAAAAUGGCAGCAAUGUAAUGUAUCCCUCAUAGCGUUGUUAGGAGGACUAAAUGGGUUAGUAUUUGUUAAAUGCUUGGCAUUGUGCCUGCCUCACACCAUACAGGCACUCAAUAAAAGUUAGCUGAAAUUAUGUUAACUAGUCUAAGCAGAGGAUUAGUAGGCACGUUGGAACUGAUGCUAAGAAGGAAUAAGACUCACCUUGGGAAAAGUGGGGAUCAGGGAGAAGACUAGGCAGCAGGCUUCUGAGUGUGGGAGUGUGCAGGAUGUGAGCACAUCUCUGCAGUGCCUGCGCCCUCCUUGCCACAGAAAUAACCUACACCAGACGUAGUAACAGAAAAAGAACCCAAGCAUUUUCAAGACAAUGUGAGCAAGGUAGAAAAGGGCGACCCAUGAGUCAACAAUACUCAAGCUUUUAUCAGUCUCAGUUUCUUCAUUCUUUGUUUCAUUCAUUCAACCCACGUUUAUCAUCAAACCUGUGCUGUUGAUUGAUGUUAUAGAUAAAAAUGAACCACUCCCUACUCUCAAGAAAGCAGAAGAAGGAAGCAGGUAAGUAACUAGACAAUUAUAUAACAAGUUCCUGAGUGAUCAGGAGGAAUGAAGUGCCCUGGGAAGGCUUCUGGGAGGAGUUGAUUCCUAAGAUUAGAUGAGUGAGAGUUAUCUAGUGAGGGGAAAGGCAUGGAUGACAGAGCAUUGUGUGUGACAAAUCCUUGUCUGCUAAUUCUCACAUUUAACUCAUCUCAGAGUCAGUCUCCAUUGAUUGCCUAUUAAGUAUGGGCCAUAUUUUUAUGUCUAGUAAUUUUGGAUUAUAUUCUAGACAUUGUUGAUGGUCUAGUGUAGAGACUAUGGAUUCUAUUAUGUUUCUCUGGAGAGUGUUGACUUUUUAUUUUAGCAGGCAUUUAAUUUGACUGAACUCAAACACCAAACUAUCUCCUCCAUGGGGGGCAGAAGCUGAAAUCUCUGAUCAGUUCUAUUAAUUUUAGAUGGGUUGCUUGGAAUCUGCCCCAUGCAUGUAUAGCUCAGGAGUCAGCCACAGAUUUGGAUGGAGUUUAUAUGCAGAAUUUGGAGCAUCCCUUCUGAGGCUUUCUCCUUUUGGGGAUUUCUGCUUCCAUUUUCCAGCUGCCCCAACCAUUUGCUCCUUCCAUUUUCCAGCUGCCCUUCUGAUCCUGCAGAUUUCUAUCUAGUUUCUAAUCACUCUAUAUACUACAGAUUGGGUUCUGCUCUCAAGCAAAAAACUGUGAAACCCAGAAACUCAUCCAAUGCUCCCUUCUCCCAGGUUCUGCCUGCUUUGAGUUGCUCUCUAGUGCAUGCAAAUAGGUAUUUUUAAUUUUUUGCUAAGUAAUAGUUAUGUUCAGAUGAUAGGUCCAAUAUACACUACUCUGAGAUAUUGGAAGCAAAACUCCCACAAUGGAUAUUUCAAGAACUGCAAGUAGGUCAGUUUGUGUGUGGGGGGGAGUGUUUGUGUACAUGUGUGCAUGCGUGUGUUACAGGGGCAUGGAAAUAUGCACAGCUUAAAGAAAGGCAGAGGUCAGAUCAUCAAAAGCCUUCUGGGUUAUAUUAAGGAAUUUGAACUAGAUCCUGAAGGCUGUGAUGGAGAGCUUUAAUCUUAAGAGUAAAAUGAUCACAACUGUUCUUAGAAACAUUGCUGGGCAUCUGUAUGAAGGAUGAAUCAAAAGAGGUAGAAAGAUAGGGGAUUGAUGGGGAAACAGAAUUCAGUUUUUGUCCUCUGGAAGAUGAGGGGUUGAACUAGAUGAUCAUUAAUGUCUCUUAUGGCUCUAGUAUUCCGAUCUUCCCAUUAAUGACUUUACUUGGUCCUACUGUAGCCAGGAGUUCCCACAAGGCUGUUUUUUGCAGAGCACUAUACACAGCCCUUGAAGCCCAGGCUUUAAAAAAUGCCAUUUAGUGAUAUUUUAUGGCUUGUGAAUAGAUUAAGGUAAUGGAGGCACAAAA